This 639-nucleotide long non-coding RNA is filed under the name Androctonus crassicauda. Lineage: Eukaryota; Metazoa; Arthropoda; Arachnida; Scorpiones; Buthidae. The record is from RNAcentral.
CUUAAAAAGAUGAUAUUCCAAGAGAUCCCCCUUUUAGGAUCUCCAUUCUGCUCAGCAAAGAUUGUAAACACUUUUUCUACACUACAAUGGGUAUUCUGCAUAGGCUAGUUCUCUUAACAAAGUGCUAUUACUUUAGCCUUAUCUGUGCUGGGAAUGAUGGGAAAGGCUCAGAUCGGAGUAGUCAGUUAGCAGGCUUUGUGUGACAGAGUAAACACAGUAGCUUGUGUUUAUCAGCGAUGCUUCCUCAGAAGUGGCCACAAUAUAGACAGUUGCCAGGGGCCAUCACUCCAGAAGCACCCUUUGUAUCAGAUGUCUGAAAGCCUAGGUGUCCUGAAGCUAGACUGGACAGCUGGUGUCUAUACAGUGAAACAUAUUGUCCUUCUGGCACUAAUUAUAGGAAUUUAUGCACGUCUUAGGUGAUGGUUGUCACUGGAACUCACUCUUCAAGUAUAGCCACAGUUGACCUGUACAUGAUGUGAAAGGAAGAUAAGCUCUUCCUCCAUAGUACACUCUAUGUAGGACUGCUUUUUCUGGAUGGCCACAGGGUUGAAAGCAUCCUCUGCCAGUGUUGGUAAGAAGAACCCAUCUUAGAAGGUCCAAGGCCCAUGAGAGUACAUAUGUCUAUGUUAGAGUGCACAG